Molecule: ribosomal RNA, 116 nt
Filed under: Candidatus Harrisonbacteria bacterium CG10_big_fil_rev_8_21_14_0_10_49_15
Lineage: Bacteria; Candidatus Harrisoniibacteriota
Source: RNAcentral
GCCGGUGAUUUAGCUUUGUAUGCACCACCUCAUCCCAUUCCGAACUGAGCAGUGAAAGUGCAAAGCUCCGAUGAUACUUCUUGUUUCGACGAGUGGGAAAGUAGGAUUCGCCGGCU